UGGGGAAUAUUGGACAAUGGGGGAACCCUGAUCCAGCCAUGCCGCGUGUGUGAAGAAGGCCUUAUGGUUGUAAAGCACUUUAAGCGAGGAGGAGGCUACUGAGACUAAUACUCUUGGAUAGUGGACGUUACUCGCAGAAUAAGCACCGGCUAACUCUGUGCCAGCAGCCGCGGUAAUACAGAGGGUGCGAGCGUUAAUCGGAUUUACUGGGCGUAAAGCGUGCGUAGGCGGCUUUCUAAGUCGGAUGUGAAAUCCCCGAGCUUAACUUGGGAAUUGCUUCGAUACUGGGAAGCUAGAGUAUGGGAGAGGAUGGUAGAAUUCCAGGUGUAGCGGUGAAAUGCGUAGAGAUCUGGAGGAAUACCGAUGGCGAAGGCGGCCAUCUGGCCUAAUACUGACGCUGAGGUACGAAAGCAUGGGGAGCAAACAGGAUUAGAUACCCUGGUAGUCCAUGCCGUAAACGAUGUCUACUAGCCGUUGGGGCCUUUGAGGC
RNAcentral lists this ribosomal RNA (490 nucleotides) under uncultured bacterium. Its description in RNAcentral is "partial 16S ribosomal RNA". It matches the Rfam family "Bacterial small subunit ribosomal RNA", at positions 355 to 838 of the family's 1533-position model. The record is from RNAcentral.